GACGAAGGAUGCAAGCGUUAUCCGGAUUCAUUGGGCUUAAAGGGAGUGUAGGCGGUCUUAUAAGUCAGUGGUGAAAUCUCCCCGCUUAACGAGGAAACUGCCAUUGAUACUGUAGGACUUGAGUAUCGUUGCUGUGGGCGGAAUAUGACAUGUAGUGGUGAAAUACUUAGAGAUGUCAUAGAACACCGAUUGCGAAGGCAGCUCACAAAACUAUAACUGACGCUGAGGCUCGAAAGUGCGGGGAUCAAACAGG
RNAcentral lists this ribosomal RNA (253 nucleotides) under uncultured bacterium. RNAcentral's name for it is "partial 16S ribosomal RNA". It matches the Rfam family "Bacterial small subunit ribosomal RNA", at positions 524 to 776 of the family's 1533-position model. The record is from RNAcentral.